RNAcentral lists this ribosomal RNA (433 nucleotides) under uncultured bacterium. Its description in RNAcentral is "partial 16S ribosomal RNA". It matches the Rfam family "Bacterial small subunit ribosomal RNA", at positions 29 to 507 of the family's 1533-position model. The record is from RNAcentral.
AACGAACGCUGGCGGCAUGCCUAACACAUGCAAGUCGAACGAGACCUUCGGGUCUAUUGGCGCACGGGUGCUUAACGCGUGGGAACCUGCCCUUAGGUUCGGAAUAACUCCCCGAAAGGGGUGCUAAUACCGGAUAAUGUCUUCGGACCAAAGAUUUAUCGCCAUUGGAUGGGCCCGCGUUGGAUUAGCUAGUUGGUAGGGUAAAAGCCUACCAAGGCGACGAUCCAUAGCUGGUCUGAGAAGAUGACCAGCCACACUGGGACUGAGACACGGCCCAGAAUCCUACGGGAGGCAGCAGUGGGGAAUAUUGGACGCUGGGCGAAAGCCUGAUGCAGCAAUGCCGCGUGAGUGAUGAAGGCGUUAGGGUUGUAAAGCUCUUUUACCCGGGAUGAUAAUGACAGUACCGGGAGAAUAAGCUCCGGCUAACUACGUG